This 338-nucleotide ribosomal RNA is filed under the name Ixodes persulcatus (taiga tick). RNAcentral describes it as "partial 16S ribosomal RNA". The record is from RNAcentral. Lineage: Eukaryota; Metazoa; Arthropoda; Arachnida; Ixodida; Ixodidae.
GGUAUUGAAAUAAGAUUUUAAAUGAGUGCUAAGAGAAUGAUUGAACAAUUAUAGGCUUUCUUUAGUUAAAUAAUUAAAUUUAAUUUUUUUAGUGCAAAAGCAAAAAUUAAAUUUAGGGACAAGAAGACCCUAUGAAUUUUAAUUUAAUUUAUAAUUUGAAAUUUUAAAUUAAAUUUGAUUGGGGCGAUGGAAAAAGAAUGAGUAUCUUUUUUAGUUUUAAAAAUUGGUUCCGUUUUUAACGAUUAAAUGAGAAAAAUACUCUAGGGAUAACAGCGUAAUAAUUUUGGAUAGUUCUUAUAGAUAAAAUAGUUUGCGACCUCGAUGUUGGAUUAGGAUUC